GCGUGGAUGAGCUUCAUUGGUAUGGUGUGCGGAUUUCAAAUCCGUAGGGGAUGGAAUAUGCCCAGUGGUUCGAUUCCACCUUCCACGC
This 88-nucleotide transfer RNA is filed under the name Reticulomyxa filosa. RNAcentral describes it as "Selenocysteine transfer RNA". It matches the Rfam family "Selenocysteine transfer RNA". Lineage: Eukaryota; Foraminifera; Reticulomyxidae. The record is from Rfam by way of RNAcentral.